RNAcentral lists this microRNA precursor (102 nucleotides) under Marmota monax (woodchuck). The record is from RNAcentral. Lineage: Eukaryota; Metazoa; Chordata; Mammalia; Rodentia; Sciuridae.
AGUGGGAUAGCUGGGUCAAGUGGUGGUUCUAUUCAAGUUUUCCAAGGAAUCUCCAUACUGCUUUCCAGGUUGGUUGCACUAGUUUGCAGUCCCACCAGCAAU